GUAUGCAAAUCAUUUUGUGAAACUUCUGAAAGCAAGAAAACACUUCACAUUUUACUUUCAUCAAAUAGACUCAUGUCAACCUAGUGUAACAAUUAAUAAAAGUGACUAGCUAUCUAUAAUCAGACAAAGAAAUUAUUUGAGUAGGUCUCCACGCAUUAGAAUGAAUAGUCAUAAAAGAGAUUAAACUUUUAUUAUUUAUGGAAGAAUAAGACUGUCUAGUGUGUUUAGCAAAUUCACAAGAAUCACAAACUAGUUAGUCUAAGUUGCAAUUCUUAAACAAAUUAAGAUUACCUUUCCAGAGUAAAAAAAGAUGGAUGUCCUAAUCUCCUAUGCCAUUGGAUAAUCUCUUCAUUAGCACUCAUAAACUUUCCAAACAAAGCCUAUUUUACUCCAAGAUUUGAGAAACUACAUCCGUCAUCUAACAGAUAGAGACCAUCUCACAAUCUACCAUUAUCAAUCGUUGUCCCUGUUUUCAAAUUCUGAAAUAUGUAAUGAGUAGG
RNAcentral lists this unclassified non-coding RNA (500 nucleotides) under Hevea brasiliensis (rubber tree). The record is from RNAcentral. Lineage: Eukaryota; Viridiplantae; Streptophyta; Magnoliopsida; Malpighiales; Euphorbiaceae.